This 465-nucleotide ribosomal RNA is filed under the name uncultured bacterium. Its description in RNAcentral is "partial 16S ribosomal RNA". It matches the Rfam family "Bacterial small subunit ribosomal RNA", at positions 338 to 795 of the family's 1533-position model. The record is from RNAcentral.
CCUACGCGCUGCAGCAGUGAGGAAUAUUGCGCAAUGGGCGAAAGCCUGACGCAGCGACGCCGCGUGAGGGAUGAAGGUCUUCGGAUCGUAAACCUCUGUCAGCAGGGAAGAACGGUCACUGUGCUAAUCAGCAGUGAAUUGACGGUACCUGCAAAGGAAGCACCAGCUAACUCCGUGCCAGCAGCCGCGGUAAUAAGGAGGGUGCGAGCGUUAAUCGGAAUUACUGGGCGUAAAGCGCUCGUAGGCGGUAUGUCAAGUCAAGGGUGAAAUCCCCGCGCUCAACGUGGGAACUGCAGUUGAAACUGGCAAACUGGAGUGUGUGAGAGGAUAGUGGAAGUCCAGGUGUAGGAGUGAAAUCCGUAGAUAUCUGGAGGAACAUCAGUGGCGAAGGCGACUAUCUGGAACAUAACUGACGCUGAGGAGCGAAAGCGUGGGUAGCAAACAGGAUUAGAUACCCUUGUAGUC